AGUCGAGCGGGGUUGUUUAGAAGCUUGCUUCUAAACAACCUAGCGGCGGACGGGUGAGUAACACGUAGGCAACCUGCCCACAAGACAGGGAUAACUACCGGAAACGGUAGCUAAUACCCGAUACAUCCUUUUCCUGCAUGGGAGAGGGAGGAAAGACGGAGCAAUCUGUCACUUGUGGAUGGGCCUGCGGCGCAUUAGCUAGUUGGUGGGGUAAAGGCCUACCAAGGCGACGAUGCGUAGCCGACCUGAGAGGGUGAUCGGCCACACUGGGACUGAGACACGGCCCAGACUCCUACGGGAGGCAGCAGUAGGGAAUCUUCCGCAAUGGGCGAAAGCCUGACGGAGCAACGCCGCGUGAGUGAUGAAGGUUUUCGGAUCGUAAAGCUCUGUUGCCAGGGAAGAACGUCUUGUAGAGUAACUGCUACAAGAGUGACGGUACCUGAGAAGAAAGCCCCGGCUAACUACGUGCCAGCAGCCGCGGUAAUACGUAGGGGGCAAGCGUUGUCCGGAAUUAUUGGGCGUAAAGCGCGCGCAGGCGGCUCUUUAAGUCUGGUGUUUAAUCCCGAGGCUCAACUUCGGGUCGCACUGGAAACUGGGGAGCUUGAGUGCAGAAGAGGAGAGUGGAAUUCCACGUGUAGCGGUGAAAUGCGUAGAGAUGUGGAGGAACACCAGUGGCGAAGGCGACUCUCUGGGCUGUAACUGACGCUGAGGCGCGAAAGCGUGGG
RNAcentral lists this ribosomal RNA (725 nucleotides) under Bacillus sp. R401. RNAcentral's name for it is "bacterial SSU rRNA". It matches the Rfam family "Bacterial small subunit ribosomal RNA", at positions 60 to 765 of the family's 1533-position model. Lineage: Bacteria; Bacillati; Bacillota; Bacilli; Caryophanales; Bacillaceae. The record is from RNAcentral.